GUGUCAGCAGCCGCGGUAAUACGUAGGGGGCGAGCGUUGUUCGGAAUUAUUGGGCGUAAAGGGUACGUAGGCGGUUUGUUAAGUUUGGCGUUAAAUCACGGGGCUCAACCCCGUUCAGCGUUGAAAACUGGCAAACUUGAGUAGUAGAGGGGACAGUGGAAUUCCUAGUGUAGCGGUGAAAUGCGUAGAGAUUAGGAAGAAUACCGGUGGCGAAGGCGACUGUCUGGAUACAUACUGACGCUCAGGUACGAAAGCGUGGGGAGCAAACAGGAUUAGAAACCCCAGUAGUCC
Molecule: ribosomal RNA, 291 nt
Filed under: uncultured Murdochiella sp.
Lineage: Bacteria; Bacillati; Bacillota; Tissierellia; Tissierellales; Peptoniphilaceae
Description: partial 16S ribosomal RNA
Rfam family: Bacterial small subunit ribosomal RNA
Source: RNAcentral